CUGUGGAAACACAGUGUGCGUAAGCGUCCGUGACAGGUGGUGCAUGGCUGUCGUCAGCUCGUGUCGUGAGAUGUUGGGUUAAGUCCCGCAACGAGCGCAACCCUUGUCCUAUGUUGCCAGCGGAUUAUGCCGGGGACUCAUAGGAGACUGCCGGGGACAACUCGGAGGAAGGCGGGGACGACGUCAAGUCAUCAUGCCCCUUAUGCCUAGGGCUGCACGCAUGCUACAAUGGCAGGUACAACGGGUUGCGAUCCCGCGAGGGUGAGCUAAUCCUCCAAAGCCUGUCUCAGUUCGGAUUGGAGUCUGCAACUCGACUCCAUGAAGCCGGAGUCGCUAGUAAUCGUGGAUCAGCAAUGCCGCGGUGAAUACGUUCUCGGGCCUUGUACACACCGCCCGUCACAUCACGAAAGUCGGCAACACCCGAAGUCAGUGGCCUAACCCUUAGGGGAGGGAGCUGCCGAAGGUGGGGUUGGCGAUUGGGAUGAAGUCGUAACAAGGUA
This 500-nucleotide ribosomal RNA is filed under the name uncultured bacterium. RNAcentral describes it as "bacterial SSU rRNA". It matches the Rfam family "Bacterial small subunit ribosomal RNA", at positions 998 to 1498 of the family's 1533-position model. The record is from RNAcentral.